This 1198-nucleotide ribosomal RNA is filed under the name Archasterope bulla. RNAcentral's name for it is "SSU rRNA". It matches the Rfam family "Eukaryotic small subunit ribosomal RNA", at positions 277 to 1423 of the family's 1831-position model. The record is from RNAcentral. Lineage: Eukaryota; Metazoa; Arthropoda; Ostracoda; Myodocopida; Cylindroleberididae.
UCAUACCAGCAAUACUAUCACUCUAACAUGUGUCUAGCACUUAUCAACUUUCGACGGUAGGUUACAAGCCUACCGUGGUUAUAACAGGUGACGGGGAAUCAGGGUUCGAUUCCGGAGAGGGAGCCUGAGAAACGGCUGCCACAUCUAAGGAAGGCAGCAGGCGCGCAAAUUACCCACUCCCGGCACGGGGAGGUAGUGACGAAAAAUAACAAUACGGGACUCUACCGAGGCCUCGUAAUUGGAAUGAGUACAAUUUAAAAUCCUUAACGAGGAUCUAUUGGAGGGCAAGUCUGGUGCCAGCAGCCGCGGUAAUUCCAGCUCCAAUAGCGUAUAUUAAAGUUGUUGCGGUUAAAAAGCUCGUAGUUGGAUCUCAGUUCUGGGUGAGCACGGGUCCGCCAUAACAUUGGUGGACUGCUGACUUGCCCGGUGCAAAACCGCCCGGCUUCUCCCACGGUGCUCUUCACCGAGUGUCGUGGGUGGCCGACACGUUUACUUUGAGAAAACCAGAGUGCUUAAAGCAGGCGCAAGACGCCCGAAUGACUGUGCAUGGAAUAAUGGAAGAGGAUCUCGCUUCCGUCUUUGUUGGUUCCUCGGAUAGCGAGAUAAUGAUUAAUAGAAGCAGUCGGGGGCAUUCGUAUUGCGACGUUAGAGGUGAAAUUCUUGGAUCGUCGCACGACGAACUACUGCGAAAGCAUUUGCCAAGAAUGUUUUCGUUAAUCAAGAACGAAAGUUAGAGGUUCGAAGGCGAUCAGAUACCGCCCUAGUUCUGACCAUAAACGAUGCCAACUGGCGAUCUGUCCUAGUUACUCGCACGACUGGACAGGCAGCCUCCGAGAAAUCAAAGUCUUUGGGUUCCGGGGGAAGUAUGGUUGCAAAGCUGAAACUUAAAGGAAUUGACGGAAGGGCACCACCAGGAGUGGAGCCUGCGGCUUAAUUUGACUCAACACGGGAAACCUCACCAGGCCCGGACACCAAAAGGAUUGACAGAUUGAGAGCUCUUUCUUGAUUUGGUGGGUGGUGGUGCAUGGCCGUUCUUAGUUGGUGGAGCGAUUUGUCUGGUUAAUUCCGAUAACGAACGAGACUCUAGCCUGUUAACUAGCCGGUGGAUCAGAAAAUUGAUAUGCGGCGAAGUGGUGUUGCUAUCCUCCGGGGUGCAUCCUGCAUAGUCGCGUCCACCGAGUCUUCUUAGAGGGACAGG